This is a long non-coding RNA of Equus caballus (horse), 1668 nucleotides long. The record is from Ensembl. NCBI's taxonomy places the organism in Eukaryota, Metazoa, Chordata, Mammalia, Perissodactyla, Equidae.
AAUGAGAGAAGGUUUCCAAUUAGAUACAGUCUAACACUGGCCCUGCUUCUCAGUCACCUUCAAUUGUCAGCGAUAAAAAAGGACAGUUCAAUAUGAUAUGGAUCAUUCACUCCAAAUCUCCACAACUCAUUUAUGACAAACACAACUAACAGAGCAUGGGGAACUGCAGGAUAGUUUUUCAUUAUCCUGGCACAUUGGCUUCCGACUACAGCUGUAAUGAUCUUCAGUGGUUUUCCAUAUAGCACGCUGUUAAUGAAUAGUUUAAGAUGUGAUGGCAACCAGAAUUCUGACUGAAAGUCUUAGUAAUCCUUUUGUUUGGGGAAGAACAAAUGGAUCUUCAGAAGAAAAAAAAAUGAUUUAAAGGGAAAAAGUGUUUCGUUUUCAUGAGUGACCUGGGUUCCUAUGGGAGACAGGGUAGCAUCCCAGCAGUAUUUGGAGAAGAAGAAGGUGGAGGGACCAGCUCUGGUGCAUUAACCCACUGAGAACCCUGGAGGUGCCCACGUACCCAAAUCAUGUUGUCUAAAAUAAUGGGAUAUGCUAGGGUUUUAUGAAGGCUAGUGCCAGAGUCUACAUAAUUCCAUUAUGGUAAGUAGGACCUAACCAUUAAGAUUUCUGGGAAAUAUUUCCACUUAAAGACAGUUGUGUGUCAAUAUUCCAGGUGGUCUGGUCAGAAUCCCUCCAGUGGAUGGGGAUAUGGAGCCAGAGAGCAGAUCCUCAAGAUCUGGAGAUACAAAGAGGAGGAUGGUUGAGCCUCAGCUAACCAAGCAGUCUGAGGUUCAUUCGUUCAUUUAUUCACUUAACAAACAUCUAUUGAAGACCCACUUUGUGCCAGAUAUGGUGCUUCAUAGUUACAGAUGAUGACGCUAAGAAAAUAAUGAUGAUGAAAUCAUUUGGAAGUUGCAGGCAAGGAUGGAAAACUUAUUUGGAUUCAAAACAAAAGUGUCAUUUAGAAUUGGAAAGCAACUAUGUAUGCAUACAGGCUAAUGCAUUUUGGAAGCAAGAAACUGAAAAUGCCAAAAUAUCACCAUCUCUUCAGAGUUAUGUUGAACUCAAAGAAGAUGAUUGUUAUUUCCAAAUGGCACCACCGCCCACAAUUACUUUGGCAGGAAGUAUAAGAUCCCACUGGAGGCAGUGGACUUCACCUCCCACCAGGAAAAUCUGGAGACUCUCUCUCUACCUUGAUCUCUGUUCUGGAAGGCUGAGAAGCAGGGUCAAUAUCAACAGGCUCCUUUGCCCUUUGCCUGGCUAGACUACUCCAUCACAUCACAGCUCCCGGCAGACGGCCCUCUCUACACGGCUUUCUUUCACCUGGUCUAGCCUUGAGAGCAACAAGGAAGGUCUGUGUGGCCAAGUCUGCAAUCAAGAAAUGGCUGCUGGAAGAGGCAUCUCUGACCCAACCCAGGAAGGCCAUCACUGCCUCCAAAGAGUACCAUCGUGCAAAUUAGCAAAAUCCCCUUGUGUUUUGCAGCACUGGGCAUUGUUAUCAUUUUGGAGGAGGGCCAUGAUGAAACUACAUACUUUUUUGUUUGCGUAUCAUGUAACUAGUUAGAUUUAAAAUUUUUAUUUUAUACCAAAUUGUGGAAUUAUUUUCAAUCAUUGUUGGAAUUGAAAUAUUCAUGCAACCUCUUCAUAGAGCUAGUCACUUCAGAUGUGGAACACAGAGAGAGG